Pongo abelii (Sumatran orangutan) is the source of this 148-nucleotide unclassified non-coding RNA. It matches the Rfam family "Metazoan signal recognition particle RNA". Rfam says of the family: The signal recognition particle (SRP) is a universally conserved ribonucleoprotein. It is involved in the co-translational targeting of proteins to membranes. The eukaryotic SRP consists of a 300-nucleotide 7S RNA and six proteins: SRPs 72, 68, 54, 19, 14, and 9. NCBI's taxonomy places the organism in Eukaryota, Metazoa, Chordata, Mammalia, Primates, Hominidae. The record is from Ensembl.
GCCGGGCAUGGUGGCGGGUGCCUGUAGUCCCAGCUACUCGGGAGGCUGAGGCGGGAGAAUGGCUUGAACCCGGGAGGCGGAGCUUGCAGUGAGCUGAGAUCGUGCCAUUGCAAUCCAGCCUGGGCAACAGAGCCAGAAUCCGUCUCAA